CCUACGGGUGGCAGCAGUGAGGAAUAUUGGUCAAUGGACGAGAGUCUGAACCAGCCAAGUAGCGUGCAGGAUGACUGCCCUAUGGGUUGUAAACUUCUUUUAUAAAGGAAUAAAACGAGGCACGUGUGCCUUUUUGCAUGUACUUUAUGAAUAAGGAUCGGCUAACUCCGUGCCAGCAGCCGCGGUAAUACGGAGGAUCCGAGCGUUAUCCGGAUUGAGUGGGGUUAAAGGGAGCGUAGAUGGGUUGUUAAGUCAGUUGUGAAAGUGUGCGGCUCAACCGGAAAAUUGCAAUUGAUACUGGCAGUCUUGAGUACAGUUGAGGUAAGCGGAAUUCGUGGUGUAGCGGUGAAAUGCUUAGAUAUCACGAAGAACCCCGAUUGCGAAGGCAGCUUGCUGCAGCGGAACUGACGCUGAUGCUCGAAAGCGCGGGUAUCGAACAGGAUUAGAUACCCUUGUAGUC
This 460-nucleotide ribosomal RNA is filed under the name uncultured bacterium. RNAcentral's name for it is "partial 16S ribosomal RNA". It matches the Rfam family "Bacterial small subunit ribosomal RNA", at positions 338 to 795 of the family's 1533-position model. The record is from RNAcentral.